CGCGUAGGCGGGAUGGCAAGUCGGUCGUGAAAUCCCUCGGCUCAACUGAGGAACGUCGAUCGAUACUGCUGUUCUUGAGGAUUGCAGAGGGGACUGGAAUUCCCGGUGUAGCGGUGAAAUGUGUAGAGAUCGGGAGGAACACCGGUGGCGAAGGCGGGUCUCUGGGCAAUUCCUGACGCUGAGGCGCGAAAGCGUGGGAGCAAACG
Molecule: ribosomal RNA, 206 nt
Filed under: uncultured bacterium
Lineage: Bacteria
Description: partial 16S ribosomal RNA
Rfam family: Bacterial small subunit ribosomal RNA
Source: RNAcentral